UACGUAGGGGGCAAGCGUUGUCCGGAAUCAUUGGGCGUAAAGAGCGUGUAGGCGGCCCGGUAAGUCCGCUGUAAAAGUCAAAGGCUCAACCUUUGAAUGUCAGUGGAUACUGCCGGGCUAGAGUCCGGAGGAGGCGAGUGGAACUCCUGGUGUAGCGGUGGAAUGCGCAGAUAUCAGGAAGAACACCAACGGCGAAGGCAGCUCGCUGGGACGGUACUGACGCUGAGACGCGAAAGCGUGGGGAGCGAACAGG
Molecule: ribosomal RNA, 253 nt
Filed under: uncultured bacterium
Lineage: Bacteria
Description: partial 16S ribosomal RNA
Rfam family: Bacterial small subunit ribosomal RNA
Source: RNAcentral